Molecule: transfer RNA, 75 nt
Filed under: Caudoviricetes sp.
Lineage: Duplodnaviria; Heunggongvirae; Uroviricota; Caudoviricetes
Description: tRNA-Thr
Rfam family: tRNA
About the family: Transfer RNA (tRNA) molecules are approximately 80 nucleotides in length. Their secondary structure includes four short double-helical elements and three loops (D, anti-codon, and T loops).
Source: RNAcentral
GCCCUUGUAACUCAACUGGUAGAGUACUUGAUUUGUAAUCAAGCUGUUGCAGGUUCGAUUCCUGUCGAGGGCUCA